GAACCAAGUGGGCAAAGCAUAGGUGAAGGCAGAUUUGUGGCAAAUGUCUUUAUCGUUAAUUGUUUAGUUACUUAUUAUUAGAACUAUUGAAAUAAAACCGCGCAAAGAUAAGACAAAUCAGGUAAUAAAAAGAAUAAACUUAGCACAAGCAGGUUAUUUUAUUGAGUACGUGUUUUUGCAUUUCUUUUUUUUUUUCUUUUUUUAACUGAAGCUUUCUACUCGAAUUUUUUUAAUAGAAGUUACAAUGUUGCUAUGUACCUAAACGAAUUCUUCUUCGGAAAGCUUAUUAGAGCCUUUGAAAAUCAAGAUAGCACAUUAAAUUUAUCAUUAGUGAAGUGGGAGGCACAUCCAAAAAAAUAAAAAUGAUAUGUUAGAGAGGGAGGAUAAAAGUACAAGUGAUAACUAUCUAUAACCCAAAUAUAUAUAUAUAUUACGUAUAAGUACUUUUUUAAAAUCAAAGUUGUAUUGUCGUUACAGAUAUACAAAACCAGCCGAGUACAACUAAUAAAAAAGAAUUAUAAAAUAAACUUGUCAAAAGAAAAGAUUUACAAUUUGAAGGCUAUCUUACAGAACAAUUUGCAGUGAUCUCCCGAGUUAAUUUCCUUUACCGACCUCUUUGCUAUAUAUGUAACUUCUCUAUUAAGUAAAAAAAAUAAAAUAUUGGAAGUGAAAUUGCCAGGUUUAAUUAUACCAAAAUACAGAAAAGAAUAAGAAACAAAAGAAUUAUUGAACUACAUUCUCAGAUAUAUCCAAUUCAAUUGGAUUACAAAAAGAAUCCAAAUAAUUAGAACUAUGAAAAUAAAUAAAUUUAAUUAUAGAAUAAACGGUUAAGAAUAUGAAAAGAACCAACCCGUGUUAUAAAACAACUACAAAUAAUAUAUUAUAUAUCAACAUAAAUUGUACUAAUAAAUACUAAACAAUUAUAGGGGAAGGCUAAAAGAAAGAAACAAUAGUUCACAGGAUCAUGUAAAGAAUAUGCGGAGCAAGAAUCACAUUUUUGGGACCUGAUCAAACAAUCAAAAGGACCGGCAAAUUAAAUAGAAACUUUAGUCAGAUAUAUGGAAGAUCACAAAUAAAAUAAUAAACAGAAACGAAAAAAAUACAUUUUAACGGAUAUCAAAUUACCCUCUCAUGGUCAAAUUAACCUUUCAUAGUCUAUAGUAAAGCAAGCUUAUUCAUAGCUUAUUAUGUUACAACUCAAAUGCACUCUUUCACUCACACGUGUAGCUCAUUCAUGCAUGUGAAGAAGCUACUUACUCUAACAAACCCUUUACUCAUAAAAUGUGCAAGUAAGAAUUUGAAUAACGACACAAUGAAGUGAAUAAUUACCAAUAUAAUCUAAUACAAAGUGAUUUAUCAAGCUUCUAAAUUAUCGGUUGAAAAGCACCCGUAAAGAGCUGAAAAAGGAGGGGGCAAGAUUGGUCCCGGAGACUGGCAGAUGCGUUGGCUGUUGAAGAAGCCCACAAUAUUCUUAUAGCCUUAAUUUUAUGAUUUUCAUUGCAUAGGUUGAUCACUGAAUUAAUGAUAGACUUACGGGCUUCCUAAACGGAAAAGAGAAAGAAGAGUAAUGGAAGAAGGUGUAAUUAAGAAGUAAUUUUUGGAUACUUUAAUGUAGCACAUAAAUAGAAAAAAUAUCAAAAAUUUAAGAAUAACGAUAAAUAUGAUUCUUGACUAAAAAGAUAUGCCACAUUACUUUUUCUGUUAAAAACUUAAUUCACUAAGUGUCCAAGUCUAGAAAAUCACAAGAAAACACACACACACAUAUAUAUACAUAUAUAUAUAUAUAUAUAAGAAGAACAAAUGAGAGCUAAUAUAUUGUUUGCUCGAUACUUUUGGAAACCUGAAAGUAGCAUCUGAAAGUUUAUGUAGCGUCCGAUUAUGCUCUACUCACAACACAAAUGAUAGUCCCAUCAGGUUGUAAUAAAAGUAGCUUUAUGAUUUUAACAUCUUAUUAUAUAAAAGUAUUUGACGGAUAUAUGAGAAUCAUUCCGUCUUAAAUAUAUAAAAUAACUCAUUUAAGUUAAUUAACAUAUCUUAAUUUGAAUAAGAGAAGAUAUAUUAAACUGAUAGCUGUUUCACUGACAAAAUAGUUCAUAGAAGUACAAUCUUACCUAAUCAAAAAAAUCAAGAUACAUCUCAUUGAUUUAUCCAACUUUCUAUCAAAUUGUAUAUUAAGAAUCAUAUCGUUAUUAAACAACAUGAGAAUAUAACGUAAUAAAAAUAAAAUAAAAACUUAAUUACCUUUGGUUAGCUGGUACUGUGGUACAUGAACUUCCAAUGAAUGUUUGGAUAAAUAGCUUCAGUAUUGCACCUAUGCCUUAAAUUAUCUGAUGCAAUAAUAAAAAGACCAAUAAUAAGAUAUUAUCGGAUAUGUACCGUGGAGUUCAUGAAUUAUAAAGACACAUAUUGAAAACUGUUGCUAAGCAAUGAAGCAUAUUGAACCUUUUUUAGGUAAUAAACGUAAACUGGUGGGCACAACAGAAAUUUAUAAACUUCUCUCCAGUAAUGUAAGCGGCUAGGUCUGAAACAAAACAAAUGGACAAAAAUAUGCAAAAGAAAUAAAAAUGAAAAGAAACAAAUUAAUUGAAUACAGUCAAAUCAUAACAAAAACAAUUGAGAAUGAAUCUGAUUAUGUGUGCAUAAAUUUAAAGGGAGAAGGUAGAGCAUAUUUCUUUUUUGUGAGAUGUAAGAAUUAAGAGGUGUGUUAUAAAUGUGCUAGGACCUCUUCAUGUCCUAUUCACGACUUCACAUUAAUUGAUAAGUAAUUAUAGACGGAGGAAGAGGUGGACAACAGUUACAAAUAAUUAUUGUUGGAAGUCAUUUAAAGACGUGAUUAAAUGGAGAGAGUGAAUCAAUAUAUUUAAAGACAUUUUGGUACUAUUUUAUAGUUAGAAAAAGACUUUGUUUUUGCAAAAAAUAAGGAAAAAAUUCAAAAUUAUGAGAAAAAUGAUAAAUUGCCAUACUGGUUAGAGAGGCAUGCCACAUCACCUUUUACAUUCCCAACUUUAUAUUUAUAUGUAGAUAUAGAUAAUAUGGGUUUGGAUAUUUUUGUAAUAAAUACUGAAAAUUCUGACUCGAAUUAAUUUAGAACUAAGACAGAGUUAAUGAAAUUUAUACCCUUUUAUGUUUUCUCUUUUAAGUUGCUUGACUAUUGUUUGUUCAUCUAACAUAGUGUAAUUGCUAAACCAACUGUGACCCGGAAAUUUUGUUUCAGUAGAAAGGGGAGGAGACAAAACAGGAAAAAGCAAAGGAAUUAAUAGAGCCACAAGUUUUUUCUCAAUUGAACGAUAAAAAUGACGAAAGAAUCGUUUGCUGACAUGGAAAAAAUUGAAAGGGGUCAGCUGCCACGGUGCAAAUCCGUUAAGGUUAAGGGCAAUUCCAUCAAGUUUGGUAAUUGUAGGGUGUGUUUUGGACGUAAAGUGAGACAGAGGACAAACGUAUACUAUUUACAAUAGUACAGGGGUAAGAAUGACCUUUUUCUCAUUAUUAUAGUGUCCCAAGUCACCGAUUUAUUUUAAAAUUCCAAAUCGAGAAAAUUAACUCUAUAUAUGGUCCGCGAACACAGAAGACCGGGUAAGAAAUUUUGUUAACCCAGGAGAGGUGUGAGGCGCUCCUUCCGUGAUUUUAGCACGGUCCCUCAACUAUUAAUAAUUGGCAUAAUUAUUUGAAUUUUAUAAUGCUUUUACUUUUUAGCCAUUUAUGGAAUUUAUUUGAACAAGUCGCGAUGUCGCGCACUCGUUGUUUACUACAUAUUGCAAAUCACGCCACCUGAAACGUACCCGUAAUUUACAACAUGUUUAUUUUUAUUAUUAUUUGAAGUUGUAAGGUCAAGUCACGCAAGCGUGCACUAGAAUUUGAGACUAAAUGUAUCAUAACUAUGUCACGGGAAUUGUACCCAUAGUCGCGAUGAUUUAUUACUAAUCUUGUCUAAAGCAAGUGUCACGGCCCAAUUUCAUUAUAGGCCGUGAUAGCGCUCAACUCCGUUGUUAGGCAAGCCAAUACCGAUCAAUUAGUGGUUUCUCGUUUAAAUAAAUUAUUAAGUAGUAGCAUUACCUUAUUUGUUAAAAAGAUUUAGAGAUUAGCAGGUGUGAAAUAAAUCAGCGGAAACAACAAGUACAAAUCAGGAUUAUGUAAGAAAAUCCAAGAUCAUAAGUCUACUAGGGAAUCUGCCAAGACCUACUGUCACAAGUGUGUGGGCAAUCUAGUAGAAUAUACAAAAGAAUACUGCUAGUCUACUAUCUGAGAGGAAAUAGACAAGAAAGUAAAACAUAAGAAAGACUCCAACUGCUGCAGAACGGCUCGGAAGGCAGCUCACUAUGAAGUCUCAAAGUAGGGAAACUACGCACGCCGAAUAGGUAUCUAGAUGCCUCAGAUCCUGUACAAUUAAGUACAGAAGCGUAGUAUAAGUACAUAAACAACAUGUACCCAGUAAGUAUCCAGUCUAACCUCGAAGAAGUAGUGACGAGGGGUCGACUUUGACAUUUAUUAUGGGCAAAAAAGAUGAUAUAAUCAAAAUAUUAUACUAGGCAUGGAUUUCAUGAAUAACACUAAAAGCUCAAUAACAUGAAGUGAUGAAUUCUUCUUUCACAAAUAUAAAUUUCAAAUUUAGUUAUAUUAUUUAUCAGCUUACAUUUCAAGAUAUUUAAGCAACUUCAGUCACGGAGAGUUCCAAAAAAAUUUCAUGCGCAAAUUAUGCCAAGGUCGCACAACCCGUUCAUAUAUAUAUAUUGUGCACUGCCAGAGGGUCGAAUGACGCGAACCAUAGAUGCAUCUAUUUACUACCGAGGCGCUCGGCCCGAUCCACAAAUAACAAUUAUUUUUAAGAAAAUACAAUUUCUCAUUUACAGUCAAGUAUCUCAUACAAACCUUCAAGUAAAUGAAUUCAACCUUAUACAAUUCUUUUUAUCAAUUUCUAAUAUGACUUAAGUGACUAUUUUAGCAAGUAAGGAUGCAAAUAUUUCAAAUGUGGCAUGAUACGAGUCCUAAACUACCCGGACAAUAGCAUAAUAGUAGCUACGUACGGACUCUCGUCACCUCGUAUGUACAUAACUUCCACAAAUAGAUACAAAUAUUUAUUUAAUUCACAUAUGGGGUUAAUUCCCUUUUACAAGGUUAGAAAAGAGGCUUACCUCGUCUCAAAGCCUCCGUCUCAAUUCAAGAAUACGCUCAAACCUCUAAAUUCUAUACCAAAUGACUCGAAACUAGUCAAACAUUACAUAAACUAAUCAAUUUAUGCUCAAAAGAUCAUAUUUCCACUGUUGAAGUGAUUACACAACCCAAAUUGUAAGAUUCCUAAAAUUCACCCCGAGUCCUUAUGCUCGGAUUCCGAAAAUUUUCGAAGAAAGUUGUUGUUACCCAUAGCCUUAGAAACAUAAAUAUAUAAUUUUAACUAAGUUCCAUAAGCAAUUUCGUGGUCAAAUCUCAUUUUUAUCAACAUGUAUUUAACUCAUGUUGUGUAGAAAGUACUUACCUCAAAGUGCUAGGUGAAAACCCUCUUCCAAAAGCUCCAAAAAUUGCCUAAGAGAUAAAGUGAAAUGAAAUAAAUGGCCUAAGUCCCGCAUUAAUGACCUAGAUUCGCAAAUGCGAGGGCCGCAAAUGCGACAGAAGCCUCGCAAAUGCGGAGCCUGGGCUUCAGCUACUGGGGCAGCAAACACGACCAAAGAGUCGCAAAUGCGACUUCUGCUGGGAUCGCAAACGCGGCAUAAUUGUCGCAAAUGCGAACACUGCUUGGGUCGGGCUCCUUCGCAAUUGCGAAGCUCUUAUCGCAAAUGCAAUGUUCGCAUUUGGGAACAAUCUCUCGCAAUUGCGAGACAUGCAGUUGUUGCCAAGAACACUAGAAAUCUGGUGUGUUUUCAACUCCUUCCACACGUCCAAAACUCACUCGAGCCCUUAAGGCUCCACACCAAGUACUCAUACAAGUCUAACAACAUCAUACAAACUUGUUUGCGCAAUCGGAACGCCAAAAUAACGUCAAAAACCACGAAUUGGAUGCAGAAACACAUGAAUUUACUCAUGAACUCCAAAACUUCUAAAACACUCCCGCACGUCUGAUUCCUGUAAAAUCAACUCGGAAUGACGUCAAACUUUGCGGGCAAGUCUAAAAUGACAUUACGGACCUACUCUGUACCGACCCGACUAGUCGUUUUAUAAGUUACAGUUCUGUUUUCCCCAUUUUUGCUUCUUUAUAUGUUGUUCAACUGUAUUUCAUUAUAUCGUGUUGGUUGGUUUGGGUUCAGAGUGGUCGCGGAGUGGAAUGAGACACUUAGUCUCUUAUUUAGAAGCUUAAGUUAGAAAAGUCAACUGGAUGUUGACAUAUGUGUAAAAGGUCUUGGAUGUGAAUUCUGAUGGUUCGGAUAGCUUCAUGAGGCGAUUCUGGACUUAGGAGCGUGUUCAAAAUGUAUUUUGGAGGUCCGUGAUAGAUUUAGGCUUGAAUUGGAGAAAUUGGAAAUUUGGCAUAUUCCGGUCGACAGGGGAAAUUUUGAUAUCAGGGUCAGAAUGGAAUUCCGGAUAUUGGAAUAGGUCCAUUGUGUCAUUUUAUGAUGUGCGUGCAAAAUUUUAGGUUAUUCAGAUAAGAUUUGAUAGGUUUUUGUAUCGUUUGCCGAAUUCGAAAGUUUGGAAAUCCUUAGGCUUGAAUCCGAAGGUGAUUUGGUGUUUUGAUGUUGUUUUGAGUGUUCUAAAGGUUUGAAUAAGUUUGAAUAGUGGUAUAUGACUUGUUGGUAGGUUUGGUUGAGGUCCGGAGGGCCUGGGGAUGAUUUCGAAGGGUUAUCGGAGAGUUGGAAAAUUGGAGUUACAGCUGAAGCUGUUGUUUUCUGUCAUAAUCACACCUGCGGAUUGGGAACCGCAGGUGCGAGCCCCAAAAGCGGAAGGGAGACCGCAGAAGUGGCAUUGGUCGUAGGAGCGGAGGUCUGGAUCGCAUUUGCGAGCCCGCAGGUGCGAGACCUAGGGUGCAGGUGCGGCAUCUAAGGACUUAAGUGAUUUUCGCAAGUGCGGAUUUUUGGGCGCAGAAGCGGCCCACAUGUGCGAGAUAUUGUCCGCAUAUGCAAAAAAUGCUGGGCAGAAAGUAUAAAAUGUCCCCUUUGCGAAUUUCUGUCAUUUCUUCACCAUUUUUGGACGAGUUAGAGCUUGGGGACUGUGAUUUCUAGAGGGAAUUUAGUGCUUUCGGUGAGGUAAGCUACUUGGACCUUGUAUCGUGUGUUUAUGGCGAUUAUUCAAUUGUUUAAUCAUGAUAUUAGUGGGAAAAUUUGAAAAGAAAUUGGGAGAUUAGGGCUUGAAUUGGAGAGUUUAAAUUGGAGAUUUGAGGGGCCAUUUGAGAUCCGAUUUUGAUGGUUUUGGUAUGUAUAAACUCCGGAGUGAGAGGAGUUUCUAGUUUUGCGAUUUUUAUUGGAUUUCGAGAUGUGGGCCUAGGUCCGGGUUUGAGUAAAUUUGGGAUUUUGAGUCUAAUUUGAUAAUUUUUGUGUGGGUUUUGUUCCCUUGGCAUUAUUGAUGACAUGAUUCUGAUUUUGGAUAGAUUCGGGGCGAUUUGAGGCCGAGUUGAGAGGCAAGAGCAUUGCGGAGUAGAUCUUCGUCUGGUUCGAGGUAAGUAACGAUUGUAAAUCUAGAUAUGAGGGUAUGAAACCCUGGAAUUUCGUAUUAUUUUUGAUAAAUGAGGUAACACACAUGCUAGGUGAUGGGCGUGUAGGCGUGUGGGCGUGCACCGUUAGGGAUUGUGACUUGGUCUGUGUCGUGGCAACUGUAGAGUUGUAUAUUUUGAUAAACUCUAUAUGAAAUCUAUGUGUUUAGAAAUAAUUCUAUUAACUUGGGCUAAAUUCCAUGCUUGGACCCUCAGGGGUAUUUUACUAUUAUCCUCACAUUGUCUUGAUAAAAAGCAUUAUCCUCAGUCAUGGUUUAUACCUGUUUACUGUUUAAUAUGGUUCAUCACUCUAUUUUAAUAUAUGAAAGUGUUUUGGGCUGAGUUCCCUAAUUUUAUUUUCAUUGAAAUGCCCGAGUGGCUGUGAGGUUGAUGACUGAGAGAGGCCGAGGGCCUAAUGGAGAGGAUUAUAUAUUUAUGGAUCGGGCUGCACGCCGUAUAUAUNNNNNNNNNNNNNNNNNNNNNNNNNNNNNNNNNNNNNNNNNNNNNNNNNNNNNNNNNNNNNNNNNNNNNNNNNNNNNNNNNNNNNNNNNNNNNNNNNNNNNNNNNNNNNNNNNNNNNNNNNNNNNNNNNNNNNNNNNNNNNNNNNNNNNNNNNNNNNNNNNNNNNNNNNNNNNNNNNNNNNNNNNNNNNNNNNNNNNNNNNNNNNNNNNNNNNNNNNNNNNNNNNNNNNNNNNNNNNNNNNNNNNNNNNNNNNNNNNNNNNNNNNNNNNNNNNNNNNNNNNNNNNNNNNNNNNNNNNNNNNNNNNNNNNNNNNNNNNNNNNNNNNNNNNNNNNNNNNNNNNNNNNNNNNNNNNNNNNNNNNNNNNNNNNNNNNNNNNNNNNNNNNNNNNNNNNNNNNNNNNNNNNNNNNNNNNNNNNNNNNNNNNNNNNNNNNNNNNNNNNNNNNNNNNNNNNNNNNNNNNNNNNNNNNNNNNNNNNNNNNNNNNNNNNNNNNNNNNNNNNNNNNNNNNNNNNNNNNNNNNNNNNNNNNNNNNNNNNNNNNNNNNNNNNNNNNNNNNNNNNNNNNNNNNNNNNNNNNNNNNNNNNNNNNNNNNNNNNNNNNNNNNNNNNNNNNNNNNNNNNNNNNNNNNNNNNNNNNNNNNNNNNNNNNNNNNNNNNNNNNNNNNNNNNNNNNNNNNNNNNNNNNNNNNNNNNNNNNNNNNNNNNNNNNNNNNNNNNNNNNNNNNNNNNNNNNNNNNNNNNNNNNNNNNNNNNNNNNNNNNNNNNNNNNNNNNNNNNNNNNNNNNNNNNNNNNNNNNNNNNNNNNNNNNNNNNNNNNNNNNNNNNNNNNNNNNNNNNNNNNNNNNNNNNNNNNNNNNNNNNNNNNNNNNNNNNNNNNNNNNNNNNNNNNNNNNNNNNNNNNNNNNNNNNNNNNNNNNNNGGCUUGUUUUAUGAGAUUACUGUUUCCUCUUCUUUUAUACUGAGCCUCUAUUGAAAAUGUUGAACAAAUGUUUUAAACAACUUUCAUUGAAAUUGGAGUUUUUACGAGAUGUUCAGAAUUGAGUUACUAAUUUGACUGUUAUUUCCACUGAGAUUUUUAUGUUAUGUGAUGUAUAUGAUUUUAAAUGCUUGUCUUUGCACUCAGCCUUUAUUUGUAAUUGUUACUUACUGAGUUGGCGUACUCACGUUACUCCCUGCACCUUGUGUGCAUAUCUAGGUGUCAGGGCAUCUGAGUGAGAGUUGUUCCUUCCUUCAGAGCAUUUUCGGAGUUAGCAAGGUAGCUGCACGGUGUCCGCAGCCUUGCCUUUUUCCUUCCUAUCUUUUAGUAUUUGUUUUUAUCAGAUUUAUCUUGUAUUGAGUAGACAGUACCAUAUUGUAUUUUAGUGGCUCAUGACUAGUGACACCGGGAUCGAAAUGUUCUAAACGGAAGAUUGCUUUAAUAUUUGAUUAGUAAAUGAAUUGAGAGAAAUACCGGUUUUGCUAUAAAUGUCGAAUCGGCUAGCCUAGUACUACGAUAGGCAUCAUUCCAGCCGGGGUGGUUUGGGGUCGUGACAACUUUCGAAACAGAAAUCCGAACCCGAUAUCAAAAAGUCCACCCUCGGUCAAACUUUCCAAAAACUUCAAGUUCUAACUUUGGCCAAAUGACUCCAAAACGACCUACAGACCUCUGAAUCUACUACCGGACGUGCUCCUAAGUUCAGAAUCACUAUACGGAGCUAUUCCCAGGCUCGGAAUCCCAAACGGACUCCUAGAAUAUAAAAAUCCAUUUUGACCCAAACUUAUGGAAUUUGCUCAAAUUACAACUUUCACUAUUAGGCGCCAAAAUGCCCUCGGGUCAUGCGAAACCUUAUCCGAACAUACACCCAAGUCUGAAAUCAUCAUGUAAACCUAUUGGAACUGUCAAAUUCUGAUUCCAAGGUCAUUUACUCUAAAUGUUGACCAAAGUCAAAUUGAAUUCUUCCAAAUCUCGAACCAACUAUCCCCGCAAGUCAUAAAUCAGUAAGGGAAGUCUCAUUUAGGGGAACUAGGUUCUAGAAAGAAAAAUGACCGGUCUGGUCGUUAUAUUCUCCACCUCUUAAACUAAUGUGCAUCCUCGAACGAGUUUAGAUUCAUACCUAAAGUGCUGAAUAAGUGUGGAUAUCUGCUCUGCAUGUCCUCCUCGGACUCCUAGGUCGUCUCCUCGACUAGUUGGCACCUCCACUGAACUUUUGCCGUGGAAAUCCUCUUGGAUCUCAACUGGCGAUCAUGUCUAGCAACAAUGGCAACUGGCUCCUCCUCAUAACCCAAACUCUCAUCUAGUUGGAUAGUGUUGAAGUCUAACACAUGUGACAAUUCGGUGUGAUACCUCCGGAGCAUAGACACGUGAAAACCGGAUGAACCCCGAAUAGGAUGGGAGGUAAAGAAAGCUCAUAAAUGACCUCUCCAACUCGCCUCAACGCCUCAAAUGGGCUUACGAACCUAGGGCAUUCUUCCCAAAUCUCAUAAUACCCUUCAUCGACGAGACUUCCAAGAGAACCUUGUCGCCGACCAUAAACGAUACAUCAUAUGCCUUCUGAUCCACAUAACCCUUUUGUCUAGAUUGUGCUAUGCGGAGUCACUCGUGAAUCAAUUUUAACUUUUCCAAGGCAUCCUUCACCAAAUCAGUACCAUAUAACUUGGCCUCAGCGGGCUCAAACCACCUAAUGGGAGAAUGGCAUAGCCAACCAUACAAAGCCUCAAAUGGAGCCAUCUCGAUGCUGGAUUGAUAACUCUUAUUGUAAGCAAACUCGGCGAAAGGAAAGAAUUGAGCCAAUGUUCCCCAAAGUCAAUCACACAUGCUCUAAGCAUGUCCUCUAAUAUCUAAAUUAUCCACUCUGACUGCCCGUCGAUCUGUGGAUGGAAUGAUAUGCUGAGCUCUACACGGGUCCCAACUCGCUCUGUAUGGCUCUCUAGAAAUGUAAAGUGAACUGAGGGCCUCUAUCUCAUAUGAUGGAAACAGGCACACCGUGCAACCGAACUAUCUCCCGAAUAUAAAUCUGGGACAAUUUCUCUAAAGUAUAUGUAGUCACAACUGGAAUGAAGUGUGCCGAAUUAGUCAACCUGUCGAAAUGACCCAAACUGCAUCAAACUUCUGCAAGGUCCGCGGCAACCCAACUACGAAGUCCAUAGUGAUGUGCUCCCAUUUCCACUCAGGUAUAGUCAUCUGCUGAAGUAGGCCACCUGGCCUCUGGUGCUUAUACUUGACUUGCUCCCAAUUUAGGCACUUAGCCACAAAUUCAACUAUGUCUUUCCUCAUCCGCCGCCACCAAUAAUGUUGUCUCAAGUCACGAUAGAUCUUUGUAGCACCUGGAUGAACGGAAUAUCGAGAAUUAUGUGCCUCCUCUAGAAUCCUCUCUCUCAAGCCAUCAACAUUAGGAACACAUAGACGAACCUAGAAUCGCAAAACACCAUCAUCGCCAAUAGCAACCUCCUUGGCACCACCCUGAAGUACUGUCUCUCUAAGGACUACCAAGAACUAUCCGGUUCAUGAUUUGGAGUUAGCAGCCAUUGUUCACGCGUUGAAGAUUUGGAAGCAUUAUCUAUAUGGCGUGCCAUGUGAGGUGUUCACGGAUCAUAAGAGUCUUCAGUAUUUGUUCAAGCAUAACAGGCUAAAUUUGAGGCAGAGAAGGUGGUUGGAGUUAUUAAAGGACUAUGAUAUCACCAUCUUAUAUCAUUUGUGAAAGGCCAAUGUGGUGGCCGAUUCUUUAAGUAGGAAGUCAGCCAGUAUGGGCAAUCUUGCUUAUAUUCCGGUCAGUGAGAGACUGGUUGCUUUGGAUGUUCAGGCUUUGGCCAAUCAGUUCGUGAGGUUGGAUAUUUUUGAGCCCAGCCGUGUGUUAGCUUACACAGUCGCUCAUUCUUCAUUAUUGGAGUGUAUCCAAGAUCAAUAGAAUGAUGAUCCUCAAUUGUGUGUCCUCAGAGACACGAUGCAGCACGGAGGUGCCAAGCAGGUUACAUUAGGAGAUAAUGGAGUUUUGGGGCUGCAGGUUCGAAUUUGUAUGCCUAAUGUGGAUGGGCUCCGGGAGUUGAUUUUAGAGGAGACCCAUAGUUCCCGGUACUCUAUUCAUCCGGGCACCGCUAAGAUAUAUCAGGAUUUGCGGCAGCAUUAUUGGUGGAGGAGAAUGAAGAAGGACAAUGUUGCAUAUGUGGCUCGGUGUUUGAAUUGUCAGCAGGUUAAGUACGAGUAUCAUAGACCUGGUGGUUUGUUCCAGAAGAUUGAGAUUCUCGAGUAAAAGUGGGAGCAUAUAACAAUGGACUUCGUUGUUGGACUCCCACGGACUCAAAGGAAGUUUGAUGCAGUGUGGGUUAUUGUUGAUAGGCUAACCAAGUCAGCACAUUUCAUUCCCAUGGCAGUCUCCUAUUCUUCUGAGAUGUUAGCUGAGAUCUAUAUCUGGGAGAUUAUUCAUCUUCAUGGUAUGCCCGUGUCUAUCAUUUCAGACCGAGGUACGUAGUUUACCUCAUAUUUCUGGAGAGCAGUUCAGCGGGAGUUGGGCAUAUGGGUUGAGUUGAGCACAGCGUUUCAUCCUCAAACGGACAGGCAGUCCGAGCGGACUAUUCAGAUUUUGGAGGAUAUGCUCUGAGCUUAUGUCAUUGACUUUGGAGGCUCGUGGGAUCAGUUUUUGCCUUUAGCAAAGUUUGCCUACAACAACAGCUCCAAUCAAGUGUCCAGAUGGAUCCUUAUGAGGCUUUGUAUGGUAGGCGGUGUCGGUCGCCGGUUAGAUGGUUUCAGCCGGGAGAGACUCGAUUGUUGGGUACGGAUCUAGUAUAGGAUGCCUUGGACAAGGUCAGGAUUAUUCAGGAUAGGCUUCGUACAACUCAGUCUCGUCAAAAGAGUUAUGUCGGCCGUAAGGUUCAUGAUUUGGCUUUCAUGGUCGGUGAGUGGGUAUUGCUUCGGGUGUCGCCUAUGAAGGGUGUGAUGAGAUUUGGGAAGAAGGGCAAGCUUAGCCCUAGGUUCAUUGGCCCGUUUCAGAUUCUUGAUCGAGUGGGAGAGGUGGCUUACAGACUUGCGUUGCCGCAGAGCUUAUCAGUCAUGCAUCCAGUAUUUCAUGUGUCCAUGCUUCAGAAAUAUCACAGCGAUCCACCCCACGUAUUAGAUUUCAGCACUGUCCAGUUGGACAAGGACUUGUCCUAUGAGGAGGAGUCGGUAGCUAUUCUAGACCGGCAGAUUCGUCAGUUGAGAUCGAAGAGUUUUCCUUCUGUUCGUGUUCAGUGGAGAGGUCAGCCUGCUGAGGCAUCGACCUGGGAGUUCGAGUCCGAUAUGCGGAGCCGUUAUCCCCAUCUUUUCUCCGACUCAGGUACUUCCUUCUUAUGUCCAUUCGAGGACUAACAGUUGUUUUAGAGGUGGAGGAUGUUCGUGUUCAGUGGAGAGGUCAUCCUGCUGAGGCAUCGACCUGGGAGUCCGAGUCCGAUAUGUGGAGCCGUUAUCCUAAUUUUUUCCCCGACUCAGGUACAUCCUUCUUAUGUCCAUUUGAGGACGAACGGUUGUUUUAGAGACCCGAAAGGUCAUCACUUAUUUUAGAAGCAAAUCCUAUGUUUCGAGGCCUUAAAACCUUCUUUUUACCUUACCUCGAUUUGCAUGCAUGGUUCGGACUUAUAUCUGAAAUCCUUUUAUGUGAAAAUCUGAGAAAAUGAAAUUUCUAGAGUUAAAAUUUGAUUAUGGUUGACUUUGGUUAACAUUUUGAGAAAACGAACCUGAAUCUGUGUUCCGACGAUCUCGGUAGGUCCGUAGAAAAACAUGGGACUUGGGCGUAUGCCCAGAAUCAAAUUUCGAGUUCCCAAGUCCGAGAAAUGAAUUUUUUUAAGAAAUUGUUUUGUUGAAUUGUUUAUGAAAUAAAUAAAAGAAUUUAUGUUUGAAAUCAUUGGUAUCGGGCCCGUAUUUUGGUUCUAGAGCCCGAUCUUAUAUAUGAUUUAAGUUGAGCCUGUAAAAUUGGUAAGAAACGGACUUGAAAUGAUGUGAUUUGGAACUUUGAAAGUUCAUAAGAUUUCCUUUGAUUUUGGUGAUUAAUUCAUGGUUAUUGAUAUCAUUUUGAGGAUUUGAUUGCACAAUCAAGUCUGUAUGAUGUUUUUAGGUUGGUUACAUGUUUGGUUUGGAACCCCGAGGGCUCGGGUGAGUUUCGGAUAGGCAACGGGGUGAAAUCUAACUUAAGAAAACUGCUGGUAUUUUUCAGACCUGCAGGCUUCGCAAUUGCGAGCUGGAAAUUGCAAUAAACCCAUCGCAUUUGCGAAGACUGGCUGGGAAUGGAACCUUCACAUGCGAAGCUUAUGUCGCAAUUGAGACCUUAGCAGGUAUCGUAUUUGCGAACGAUAGUUCGCAUUUGCGAAGAAGGCAGAGUGGGCAUACUUCGCAAUUGCGAAGCCUUUACUGUAAUUGCGAGUUCACAUUUGCGAACGUAUCAUCGCAAUUGCGAUAUCUGCGACAUGCAAAUUCAUAACUUAGCCAAAAAUCUUUCAUUUGUCAAUCCCUUUCAUAACCAAAACACUCUUGGGCGAUUUUUCAAAGACAACUUCUCUUCCAAAUCGAUUGUAUAUUUCUAACUCGUUUUCUUCAAUCUUUAACAUCUUUUCACAUGAUUUCAACUCAAAAUCAAUGAUUUUCGUGGGGGAAAUUUGGUGUUUUGGGUAGAACAUAGGUUUUUCAAAUUUUGGGGAUUUGGACCUCGAUUUGAGGUCCGAUUUCAAAAUAAAUUAUAUAUUUGGGUUCGUGGGGUAAUGGGUAAUCGAGUUUUGGUUUGAAUAUUGAGUUUUAACCAUGUGGGUCCGGGGAUAAUUUUUGACUUUUUGGGAAAAACUUUAGAAAGCCUAUUUUCAUGCAUCGGAAUUGACUCAUUUAGCAUUUAUUGAUAUAGUUAAGUAAUUUGUGGUUAGAUACGAGCAAAUUGGUGGUGGAAUCAAGAGGUAAAGCGAUAGUUGAGGUUUGAAUUGUGUCCGUGGUAUCGAGGUAAGUGUUUGGUCUAACCUUAGCUUGAGGGAUUAGGGGUUGUGUUCUAUUUGCUAUGUGUUAUUUGUUGAGUACGACGUAUAGGCAUGGUGACGAGUAUCUAUACAUUGGUGUCAAGCAUGCCCGUGAGUCUUAAAUUGAAGUCGUUGUGUUCUUAAUAAGUACUACAAAUGCCUAAGUUGUUGAUUCUCUGUGUUGGGCAAUAAUUAUGAUUAAUCUCGUUGAAAUUGCUUAUGGUUGAGUAUUGGUGCUAGAUAAGGUUCCUUUUGGUAAUGUUAAAUGUUGGAACGAGUUUGGUUAUAGUUGAUUCCCUUGCUGGGGUGUAUUUACUUCUUACUGUCGCUUCCCUUGUCGGGAUAUUGUUGUUUCCUUAUUGUUCCCUUGUUGGGACUCUUUUGUGAUUAGUGUUGAAUUGUUUAUUUGGAUCGGGUAUCACACCGUAACAAUAUUCUAUUUGUAUCGGAUUGCACGCCGCAACAAUAUUAUAUUUGGAUCGGGUUGCACGCCGCAACAAUCUUAUAUUGGAUCGGGUUGCACGCCACAAUAGUGUUUUAUGAUUGGGAUCCGGUUGUGCGCCGCAACAAUAAAGGAUGAAAGUGGAUAUUGAUUUGUUACUGUUUUCCUUAUUCUUUCUGCUGCGAAUUUUAGAUUGUUCUUUAUGCUUUUCCCCUGAGUUACUGUUGGUAAGUGAUAUUUCCCCACAGUAUGCCCCCUUCCUAUCUUUAACUGCUAGUUUCCUUUUAUCAUUACUUGCUAUAUAUGUAUAUGUUUUAACUGCACAGGUUUAGUUGGUAGUCUUGUCCUAGCCUCGUCACUACUUCGCCAGGGUUAGGCUAGGCACUUACCAGCACAUGAGGUCGGUUGUGCUAAUACUACACUCUGCACUAUGUGCAGAUCCCGGAGCAGCAACUUUCGGACUGUAGUUUUGGGUAGCUGCCUUCCAUCCAGUCGGAGAUUCCGAGGUAGUCCUGCAGGCGUCCGCAGGCCUUGGCGUCUUCUCUUAUCCCUUUUGUUUGUUUCUUUCACAUAUUUCAGAGAUAGUGUUGUAAUAAAUCUUUCAGACUUUUAUUUGUAGUAUUCCUAGGCAGUCUGUGGAAUUAUGACACCAGUCUUGGGUAGUUUUUGUAUGGAUUGGUAUUGGCAUCUUUCUUAAAUUACAACAUUUCAGUCUUCUGCUUAUUAGAUUUCCGCUGCUUAUCAAUUGGUGGUUAUUAAUUGUAAAAGGACUAAAAUGGGAAAAAGGAAAUGAUUCAAAUGGUUGGCUUGCUUUAGCUUUCACCAGUAGGCGCCAUCAUAACCCCCGAGGGUGGGAAAUCCAGGUCGUGACAAGUUGGAAUUAGAGCUCUAGGUUAUAUGGGUCUCACAAUUCACAGACAACCUUAGUAGAGUCUGAGGGAUCGGUACGGAGACAUCUGAAUUUAUCCCCCAGAGGCUACGAAGUUAGGAAAAAACUUCACAUCUAUUCUUUCCUGUCGUGUGGUUUGGUUUCUCAAUGCUAAUUGAAUUUCUACUUUGUUCUUUCGGAGAUGGCGAGAACACGCACUUCCUCAUCCACCGAUCAGCAACCCGAGCCCCUAGCAGCAGCUCCCACGAGGGGCAGAGGGCGAGGCCGAGGCCUUUCUAGAGGGCGAGGCCGAGGCCGUGCCAGAGGACGAGGUAGGGGCAGGGCUCAGCCUAGAGUAGUAGUACCAGCGGCGAAGCCUCAGGUUGAGUUUGAUGAUGAGGUUUCGGCCUAGGCAGUUCCGGUGGACCCAGCUCAGGUCCCACAGGGGUUCAUUGCUACCCGAGUACUCCAGGAUGCUCUGGUCCAUCUAGUUGGCCUUAUGGAGAGUGUCACCCGGGUAGGCUUGCUUUCUGUAGCACCAGUUGUCUCUCAGGCUAGAGGAGGAGCCCAGACUCCUGCUACUCGCACUCCGGAGCAGAUGGCUCCCCAGUUUUAGACUCCAGCAGCUCAGCCAGUUGGAGCAAUUCAGCCGGAUAUGGUAGCUCAGACCGGUGAUGGAGCAACUAUGUCUGUUGAUGCUUUGUGGAGAUUGGACAGGUUCACCAAGCUCUUCACUACCACUUUCAGCAGUGCAUCUUCUGAGGAUCCCCAGGAUUAUUUAGACAGUUUCCAUGAGGUUCUCAGGAACAUGGGGAUAGUAUUGACCAAUGUGGUCAACUUCGCUACUUUUCGCCAAUCUGGAUCCGCCAAGACUUGGUGGAGAGAUUAUUGUUUGGCUAGACCAGCCGGAUCACCAGCUUUGACUUGGGAGCAGUUUACUCAGAUAUUUCUGGAGAAGUUUCUCCCUAUCACUUAGAGAGAUAUCUAUUGGAGGCAGUUUGAGCAUCUUCAGCAGGGUUCUAUGACUGUUACUCAGUAUGAGACUAGAUUCAUCGACUUGGCCCGUCAUGCUCUUAUCAUACUUCCCACCAAGAGAGAGAGGGUGAAGAGGUUCAUUGAGGGACUCAUUCAGCCUAUUCGACUUUAGAUGGCUAAGGAGAUGGGGAGUGAGAUUUAUUUUCAAUUGGCGGCCAAUGUGGCCAGGAGAGUUGAGAUGGUUCUAUCGCAGGGAGGUGGUCAGGGGUUUGACAAGAGGCCUCGUCAUUCAGGCAGAUUCAGUGGUGCCUCGUCUGGAGGCAGGGAUUCGUAUGGUAUAGGCCAUCCUCCUAGUCCUUUUCAGUCAGCACUUCAGGUUUCUCACGGCUCUUCAGGUGGUCGUGGUUCUCAUAUGUAGUAUUCUGAUCAGCAGCCCUACAGUGCACUACCAGCUCAUAUCAGUGUACCGCCGCUCCAGAGUUUUCAGGAUGGUCAUUCAGAUCGCAUGGGUCAAUCUCAGUUUCCUCAGCCGCAACACUCAGGUGGAUGCUUUGAGUACGGUGAGUAUGGUCAUAUCUGGAGGGCUAGUCCAAGAUUUGUAGGUAUUCAGUCGCAGCAGCAAGGUUCCCGUGCCAUGGUUCAGGCGCCAGGUGUUCCACCGCCCGCUCCUCCAGCUAGGGGUGGGGGUAGAGGUGCUAGAGGUGGAGGUAGAGGAAUUAGAGAUGGAGGUCAUGCCACUAAAUGUGGAGGCCAACCAGCAGCAGGCCGUCCCAGAGAUGUAGUUCAGGGAGGCCGGGCCCAGCUCUGAUGUUAUGCUCUUCCAGCUAGGUCUGAGGCUGAGGCUUCCGAUGCAGUUAUCACAGGUACUGUUCUAGUUUGUAGUAGAGAUGCUUAGGUUUUAUUUGAUCUAGGAUCUAUGUACUUCUAUGUGUCAUCUUAUAUUGCACUAUAUCUAGUCAUGCCUAUUGAUUCCUUGAGUACUCCUAUAUAUAUGUCUACACCGGUGGGUGAUUAUAUUAUGGUAGAUCGAGUCCAUCGUUCGUGUAUAGUUGUGAUUGGGGGUCUUGAGACCCGUGUAGAUUUGUUACUUCUAGACAUGUUUGAUUUUGAUGUCAUAUUAGAGAUGGACUGGUUAUCACCUUACCACGUUAUCUUGGACUGUCAUGCCAAGACUGUGACCUUAGCCUUGCCGGGUAUACCUCGUAUGGAGUGGAGAGGGACUCCUGGUCAUUCUACUCGUAGCGUUAUCGCAUAUAUGAAGGCUCGGCGUAUGGUCGAGAAGGGGUGCUUGGCCUAUUUGGCAUAUGUUCGUGAUUCUAGUGCAGAGGUUCGUUCUAUUUAUUCUGCACCUGUUGUUCGUGAGUUUCUUGAGGUAUUUCCUUCAGACCUAUCGGGUAUGCCACCCGAUAGGGAUAUUGACUUCUACAUUUAUUUGGCUCCGGAAACUCAGCCUAUUUCUAUUCUACUGUAUAGUAUGGCCCCGCCUGAGUUGAAAGAAUUAAAGGAGCAGUUGCAACAUUUGCUUGAGAAUGGCUUCAUUAAACCUAGUGUCUCGCCUUGGGGCGUGCCAGUAUUGUUUGUUUAGAAGAAGGAUGGAUCGAUGCGAAUGUGUAUAGAUCACCGGCAGUUGAACAAGGUUACAAUCAAUAAUAAGUAUCCAGUGUAGAGGAUUGAUGAUUUGUUUGAUCGGCUUCAGGGUGCCAAGGUAUUUUCGAAGAUUAACUUGAGAUCUGGCUACCAUCAGUUGAGGAUUAGGGCAUCUGGUGUCCCUAAGAUAGUUUUUCGCACUCGGUACGGGCAUUAUGAGUUCCUGGUGAUGUCAUUCUGGUUGACAAAUGCCCUAGCAGCUUUUAUACAUUUGAUGAAUCGAGUGUUUAGGCCUUACUUGGAUUCGUUUGUGAUAGUCUUCAUUGAUGAUAUUUUUAUCUAUUCUCAUAGCCGGGAGGAGCACGAGCAACAUCUUAGAGUGGUUCUUCAGACUUUGAGAGAUAGUUAGUUGUAUGUUAAGUUUCUGAAGUGUGAGUUCUGGUUGAGUUCAGUUGCGUUCUUGGGUUAUGUCAUAUCAGCAGAGGGUAUUCAGGUAGAUCCGAAGAAGAUAGAGGCAGUCAAGAACUGGCCCAGACCAGCAUCAGCUAUAGAGAUCUGGAGCUUCUUGGGUUUGGCAGGCUAUUAUCGUCGCUUUGUGGAGGGGUUUUCAUCUAUUGCAGCCCUGAUGACCAGGUUGACCCAGAAGGGUGCCUAGUUCAGGUGGUCAGAUGAGUGUGAGGCGAGCUUUCAGAAGCUCAAGACAACUUUGACUACGAUGCCAAUGUUGGUUUUGCCCACAGGUUCAGGGCCAUAUACAGUUUAUUGUGAUGCAUCUCGUAUUGGACUUGGUGCAAUGUUGAUGCAGGAUGGCAAGGUCAUUGCCUAUGCUUUGCGGUAGUUGAAUAUUCAUGAAGAACUAUCCGGUUCACGCGUGUAAGAUUUGGAGGCAUUAUCUAUAUGUCGUGGCAUGUGAGGUGUUCAUGGAUCACAAGAGUCUUCAGUAUUUGUUCAAGCAGAAGGGGCUAAAUUUGAGGUAGACAAGGUGGUUGGAGCUAUUAAAGGACUAUGAUAUCACCAUCUUAUAUCAUCCGGGAAAGGCCAAUAUGGUGGCCGAUGCUUUGAGUAGGAAGUCAACCAGUAUGGGCAGUCUUGUUUAUAUUCUGGUCGGUGAGAGACCGCUUGCUUUGGAUGUUCAGGCUUUGGUCAAUCAAUUCAUGAGGUUGGAUGUUUUUGAGCCCAGUCGUGUGUUAGCUUGCACAGUCGCUCAUUCUUCAUUAUUGGAGCGUAUCCGAGAUCUGUAGUAUAAUGAUCCUUAUUUGUGUGUCCUCAGAGACACAAUGCAGCACAGAGGUGCCAAGCAGGUUACAUUAGAAGAUGAUGGAGUUUGAGGUUGCAGGGUCGAGUUUGUGUGCCUAAUGUGGAUGGGUUCCGGGAGUUAAUUUUAGAGGAGGCCCAUAGUUCUCGAAACUCUAUUCAUCCGGGCGCCGCUAAGAUAUAUCAGGAUUUGUGGCAGCAUUAUUGGUGGAGGAGAAUGAAGAAGGACAUUGUUGCAAAUGUGGCUCGGUGUUUGAAUUGUUAGCAGGUUAAGUACGAGCAUCAGAGGCCUGGUAGUUUGUUCCUGAAGAUUGAAAUUCCCGAGUAGAAGUGGGAGCGUAUCAUUAUGAACUUAUUUGUUGGACUCUUACGAACUCAGAGGAAGUUCGAUGCAGUGUGGGUUAUUUUUGAUAGGUUGACCAAGUUAGCACAUUUCUUUCCCGUGGCAGUGUCCUAUUCUUCUAAGAGGUUAGCUGAGAUCUAUAUCCGGGAGAUUGUUUGUCUUCAUGGAGUGCCCGUGUCGAUCAUUUCGUACCGAGGUACGUAGUUUACUCACAUUUCUGAAGAGAAGUUCAGCGGGAGUUGGUCACACAGGUUGGGUUGAGCACAGCAUUUCAUCCUCAGACGGACGGGCAGUCCGAGCGGACUAUUCAGAUUUUGGAGGAUAUGCUCCGAGCUUAUGUCAUUGACAUUGGAGGCUCGUGGGAUCAGUUUUGCCUUUAGCAAAGUUUGCCUACAACAACAGCUACCAAUCAAGUGUCCAGAUGGAUCCUUAUGAGGCUUUGUAUGGUAGGCGGUGUCGGUCGCCGGUUAGAUGGUUUCAGCCGGGAGAGACUCGGUUGUUGGGUACGGAUCUAGUAUAGGAUGCCUUGGACAAGGUCAGGAUUAUUCAGGAUAGGCUUCGUACAACUCAGUCUCGUCAAAAGAGUUAUGCCGGCCGUAAGGUUCAUGAUUUGGCUUUCAUGGUCGGUGAGUGGGUAUUGCUUCGGGUGUUGCCUAUGAAGGGUGUGAUGAGAUUUGGGAAGAAGGGCAAGCUUAGCCCUAGGUUCAUUGGCCCGUUUCAGAUUCUUGAUCGAGUGGGAGAGGUGGCUUACAGACUUGCGUUGCCGCAGAGCUUAUCAGUCGUGCAUCCAAUAUUUCAUGUGUUCAUGCUUCAGAAAUAUCACAGCGAUCCACCUCACGUAUUAGAUUUUAGCACUGUCCAGUUGGACAAGGACUUGUCCUAUGAGGAGGAGUCGGUAGCUAUUCUAGACCGGCAGGUUCGUCAGUUGAGAUCGAAGAGUUUUCCUUCUAUUCGUGUUCAGUGGAGAGGUCAUCCUGCUGAGGCAUCGACCUGGGAGUCCGAGUCCGAUAUGUGGAGCCGUUAUCCUUAUUUUUUCCCCGACUCAGGUACUUCCUUCUUAUGUCCGUUCGAGAACGAACGGUUGUUUUAGAGGUGGAGGAUGCGAUGACCCGAAAGGUCAUCACUUGUUUUAGAAGCAAAUCAUGUGUUCUGAGGCCUUAAAACCUCCUUUUUACCUCACUUCGAUUUGCAUACGUGGUCCGGACCUAUAUCCGGAAAGCUUUUAUGUGAAAAUAUGAGAAAAUGAAAUUUCUAGAGUUAAAAUUUGAUUAUGGUUGACUUUGGUCAACAUUUUGAUCAAACGGACCUGGAUCCGUGUUCCGACGAUCCCUGGAUGUCCGUAGGAAAAUAUGGGGCUUGGGCGUAUGCUCGGAAUCGAAUUCCGAGUUCCCAAGCCCGAGAAAUGAAUUUUUUGAAAGAAAUUGUUUUGUUGAAUUAUUUAUGAAAUAAAGAAAAGAAUUUAUGUUUGAAAUCAUUGUUAUCGGGCCCGUAUUUUGGUUCUGGAGCCCGGUACAAGUCUUAUAUAUGAUUUAAGUUGAGCUUGUAAAAUUUGGUUAGAAACAGACUUGAAAUGACGUGAUUCGGAACUUUAGUUGUAAAAUUUGGAACUUUGAAAGUUCAUGAGAUUUUCUUUGAUUUUGGUGGUAAAUUCAUGGUUAUUGAUGUUAUUUUGAGGAUUUGAUUGCACGAUCAAGUUCGUAUGAUGAUUUUAGGUAGGUGUACAUGUUUGGUUUGGGGCCCCAAGGGCUCGGGUGAGUUUCGGAUAGGCCGCGGGGUGAAAUCUAACUUAGGAAAACUGCUGGUAUUUUUCAGACUUGUAGGCUUCCCAAUUGCGAAGCCUGGCUCGCAAUUGCGAGCUGGCAAUUGUGAUAAACCCAUCGCAUUUGCGAAGACUGACUGGGAAGGGAACCUUCGCAAUUGCGACCUUAGUAGGUAUCGUAUUUGCAAACGAUAGUUCGCAUUUGCGAAGAAGGCAGAGUGGGCAUACUUCACAAUUGUGAAGCCUUUGCCACAAUUGCAAGUUCGCAUUUUCGAACGUAUCAUCGCAAUUGCGAUAUCUACGACCUGCAAAUUCAUAACUUAGCCAAAAAUCUUUCAUUUUUCAAACCCUUUCAAAACCAAAACACUCUUGGGUAAUUUUUCAAAGACAACAUCUCUUCCAAAUCGAGUGUAAGUCAUUUCUAACUCGUUUUCUUCAAUCUGUAAUAUCUUUUCACAUGAUUUCAAGUCAAAAUCAAUGAUUUUCAUGGGGGAAAUUGGGUGUUUUGGGUAGAACCUAGGUUUUUCAAAUUUUGAGGAUUUGGACCUCGAUUUGAGGUCCGAUUUCAAAACAAAUUAUAUAUUUAGGUUCGUGGGGGAAUGAGUAAUCGGGUUUUGGUCCGAACCUCGGGUUUUGGUCCGAACCUCGGGUUUUGACCAUGUGGGCCCGGGGGCGAUUUUUGACUUUUUGGGAAAAACUUUAGAAAACCUAUUUUCAUGCAUUAGAAUUGACUCAUUUAGCAUUUAUUGAUAUAGUUAAGUAACUUGUGGCUAGAUACAAGAAAAUUGGUGGCGGAAUCAAGAGGUAAAGCGAUAGUUGAGGCUUGAAUUGUGUUCGUGGCAUCGAGAUAAGUGUUUGACUAACCUUAGCUUGAGGGAUUAGGGGUUGUGUCCUAUUUGCUAUGUGUUAUUUGUUGAGUACGAUGUAUUGGCAUGAUGACGAGUAUCUAUUCAUUGGUGUCAAGCAUGCCCGUGAGUCUUAAAUUGAAGUCUUUGUGUUCUUAAUAAGUACUACAAAUGCCUAAGUUGUUGAUUCUCUGUGUUGGGCAAGAAUUAUGAUUAAUCUCAUGGAAAUUGCUUAUGUUUGUGUAUUGGCGCUAGAUAAGGUUCCUUUUGGCGAAGUUGAAUGUUGGAACGAGUUUGGUUAUAGUUGAUUCCCUUGCCGAGACAUAUUUACUUCUUACUGUAGCUUCCCUUGUCGGGAUAUUGUUGUUUCCUUAUUAUUUCCUUGUCGGGACUCUUUUGUGAUUGGUGUUGAAUUGUAUAUUUGGAUCGGGUUGCACGCCGCAACAAUAUUCUAUUUGGAUCGGGUUGCACGCCGCAACAAUAUUAUAUUUGGAUCGGGUUGCAUGCCGCAAGAAUCUUAUAUUGGAUCGGGUUGCAUGCCGCAACAGUCUUUUAUGAUUGGGAUCGGGUUGCGCGCCGCAACAAUAAAGGAUGAAAGUGGAUAUUGAUUUGUUACUAUUUUCCUUAUUCUUUCUGCUGCAAAUUUUAGAUUGUUCUUUAUGCUUUUCCCCUGAGUUACUGUUGGUAAAUGAUAUUUCCCCACUGUAUGUCCCCCUCCCAUCUUUAACUGCUAGUUUCCUUUAUCAUUACUUGCUAUAUAUGUAUAUGCUUUAACCGCACAGGUUUAGUUGGUAGUCUUGUCCUAGCCUUGCCACUACUUCGCCGGUGUUAGGCUAGGCACUUACCAGCACAUGGAGUCGGUUGUGCUGAUACUAUACUCUGUAUUGUGUGCAAUUCCCGGAGCAGCAACUUUCGGACCGUAGUUUUGGGUGGUUCCCUUCAGUCCAGUUGGAGAUUCUGAGGUAGUCCUGCAGGCGUCGGUAGGCCUUAGCGUCUUUUCCUAUCCCUUUUGUCUGUUUUCAUAUAUUUCAGAGAUAGUGUUGUAAUAAAUCUUUCAGACUUUUAUUUGUAGUAUUCCUAGACAGUCUGUGGAAUUGUGACACCAGUCUUGGGUAGUUUUUGUAUGGAUUAAUAUUGGCAUCUUUCUUAAAUUAUUACAUUUUAGUCUUCCGCUUAUUAGAUUUCCGCUGCUUAUCAAUUGUUGGUUAUUAAUUUUAAAAGGACUAAAAUGAGAGAAAGGAAAUGAUUCAAAUGGUUGGCUUGCCUAGCUUUCACCAGUAGGCGCCAUCACAACCCCCGAGGGUGGGAAAUCCAGGUCGUGACAGUAAUACCCGACUUGAGCAUAUAUCAUUUGAUUUGUGCAAAUACCCAUUUGGGCUUGAGAAAGCCAAAUCGGGCAAUAUUACUCAAACUACCGAGAGGUAUAGAGUGAGUAAUUGCGUGUGUUUGAUAUACCACGAACCUGAUAAAUCAAACUUGCCUAAUAGUUUACAACCCGUUAGGUAGCCACCUAGGUGGAGUCACGACCCUAGAUUCCUUUAUCAAUUGAAAAGCAUCUCAAAACCGAAAAUAUUAUCCUUUAGUUUUAUCUUUGCAAUCAAUAGAUGAAAGUAGAAGUAAUACACCAAUCAACAUUGUGGAAGUACAAUUUAAGCCAAAACUUGCAACCAACUUAGAUAUACCUAAUCCCAUAUUUUAACUCCAUGUGGAUUUGAUCCAGACCUUUGUUGGGUUAUUAUUCCAUCGACCGCCUCGCUACUUAAUUGUGGUGUAGAUUUAUCCGAGAUCACUAGGUCUAUUGGUGGUGCAACUGGGGCAACUCUGGGACGUCCUCGUCCCCUACCUCUGGUCGAUGCCCUCCCCCAGCCUCUGCCUUAAUCUCUAGCAAUGGGGGGAGCAGCUCCACUCGGGUCCGGAAUGUCUGUUGCGCGCAUUCUCACCAUCUGUAAGCGAUUUAGAGGGAGAAUUUAGUAUACCAGCAACUCCACAAUAGAAGAUGAAUAAAGAGUUGUUUCCUAACUGGCCUCUCGAAGAUAAGUACAGACAUCUCAGUACUGAUCCGCAAGACUCUAUUAGGACUGCCCAUGACUUGUGAGACCUACGUGAACCUAGUGCUCUGAUACCAUGUUGUCACAACCCAAUUUCGUUAUAGGCCGUGAUGGCCCCAAUACCGUUGUUAGGCAAGCCAACACCAAUCAACUAGUAAUUUCCCGUUUAAAUAGAUUAUUACGUAGUAGCAUUACCUUAUUUGUUAAAACGACUUAGAGAUUAGCAGGUGUUACAUAAAUAAGUGGAAACAAUGAGUACUAAUCAAAAUUAUGUAAGCAAAUCCAAAAUCAUAAGUCUACUAGUGAGUGUGCACAAGUCUGUAGGCAAUUUAGUAGAAUAUAUAAAAGAAUACUACUAGCCUACUGUCUGAGAGGAAAUAGACCGGAAAGUAAAACAUAAGGAAGACUCCAACUACUGUAGAACGGCUCGAAAGGCAGCUCACUGUGAAGUCUCGAAGUAGGGAUUAACUACGCGCAUUGGACGAGUAACUAGAUGCACUUGCCUCAGAUCCUGUACAAUUAAGUACAGAAGCAUAGUAUGAGUACAUAAACAACAUGUACCCAGUAAGUAUCCAGUCUAACCUCGAAGAAGCAGUGACGAGCGGUCGACUUUGACACUUAGUAUGGGCAAAAAAUGAUAUAAUCAAAGUAUUAUACUAGGCAUGGAUUUCACGAAUAACACUAAAAGCUCAACGACAGGAAGUGUUGGAUUCUUCUUUCACAAAUAUAAAUUUCAAAUUUAGUUAUAUCAUUUAUCAGCUUACAUUUCAAGACAUUUAAGCAAUUUCAGUCAUGGAGAGUUUCAAAGAAUUAUCAUGCGCAAAUUAUGUCGAGAUCGUACGGCCCUUUCCAACAAUAUAUAUAUAUAUAUAUAUAUAUAUAUAUAUAUAUAUUGUGCACUACCGGAGGGUCGAACAACGCGAACCAUAGAUGCAUCUAUUUACUAUCGAGGCGCACGGCCUGAUCCCCAAAUAACAAUUAUUUUUAAGAAAAUAUAAAUUUCUCAUUUACAGUAAAGUAUCUCAUACAAACCUUCAAGUAAGUGAAUUCAACCUUAUACAAAUCAUUUUAUCAAUUUCUAAUAUGACUUAAGUGACUAUUUUAGCAAGUAAGAACGCAAACAUUUCAAAUAUGGCAUGAUACGGGUCCUAAACUACCUAGACAAUAGCAUAAUAGUAGAAACAUACGGAAUCUCGUCACCUCGUAAAUAUGUAGCCCCCACAAAUAGGUACAAACAUUUAUUUAAUUCACCAAUGGGGUUAAUUCCCUCUUAUAAGGUUAUAAAGGAGAUUUACCUCGUCUCAAGCCUACUUUCCAAUUCAAGAAUGCGCUCAAACCUGGCUCAUUUUAUGCUAACUUAAGGAACCAGGUGUUCUGAUUUCAAUCCAAACUCUUCCAAAUCUCGAACCAACCAUCCCCGCAAGUCAUAAAUCAGUAAAAGCAAGUACGGGAAGUCUCAUUUAGGGGAAUGGAGUUCUAGAAAGCAAAAUGACAGAUCGGAUCGUUACAACAAGCUACGAAUGUUAAAAGAUGUUUAUCCUAAAUUAAAUUGAGAUUAUUAUGAGGUCAAGGGUUCUUGAUAGGAGAUUUUGUGGGAGAAGUGAUAUAAUUAAACUUUUGACAAGAUCUACUAAUUAGUAGAGGUAAAAGAGAAAUGGGCUAACUUGUAGACUUCAUCGUGUUGGGCUAGUCAAAGUUCAAUCGUAUUAUCCACAUUUAAUUCUCAAACAACAAUAAUAACCCAUUACUCAUUAAACUUGCACUUUAAUAAAGCUUGACGCCGACAUUAAUUUAAAAAAAUGUGUUAAAAUCAUCGACACUAACAUAUCUAUUUGGUCAACUUUCCAAAUUUCAUGAGCCAAAAUGGAUUAAAUAAUUAACCAUCGACCAAUACUCACUCAAAUCAAAUAAACAAAACCCAGAACAAUAAAUUAUUGAAGGUAGACAACCAAAUGUGAUAUACAAACGAAAAGGGAACAUGGUGAAAUAAAAACAAUGGAAACAGUGGUUAAGAAAAGAAUGAAACUUUUAUAGAUGAAGAUCUUCUUUGAUACAUGAGGAUAUAGGAAACCUUCAGGUCAACAUGCGGAAUGAACUGCGACCAGAGAUGACGGGUGGAACCUCGAAUGGAAAAUUUUCCUGUGACCCCGACCAACCUUUUUUGCCAAUGGUUUUUUUGAGUGUUUGGACAAAUUUGAGGACUGCUUUAGGGCUGAUUUUUGGAGUUAAUGUUUUUGAAUUUUCAUGGUAAAAAUAGGGGACUUACAGCUAGUGGAGUCUUGUUUAUGGGUGUGUUGAGGGAAUUUUUGUCGCUGUUUCCCAUAUAUCAUUAUACCUUCUUCUGAACUGACGCAUCGCUUGUCACUUCCAUUUAAUGUAUGUGACACGUGGUGUCCUACUAUUGGCUUUGCAAUUCCUCAGUGUCUUUUAGGGCUUUUUUACGACUGCAUCAAUCAUGAAGUGACAGUUUUCAUAAUGACGUUUCCAUCAUUACCUUUUUGUUUGAUGGUAGCUUCCGAGUAUAAAAAUAUAUCCUUUGUCUGUUCUUUCACGAAAAAGUUCUCCAUAUUUUGCCAUUCAAUCCCUUUUUCUCUUUGUACAGCUAUGUCUUCUUCAAACACUGAUCCUCAAAAGGUUCUUAUUGUAGAUGAACUUCCCCUCGCUCCUACCAGAAGCAGGAGAGGUGGUAGGCUGCGUAGUUUAGGAUCAAUUUCCGUUCAAGGUUCUUCUUCUCAACCUAGUACUACUCCUCCAUCAUCUUAUAGAACUAGGGCUUCAUUUUCACAUAGGCCUUCUGCUAGAAGUAGGAUUCCAGUGAGCCAAUUCGUGAACCUACAGUAGAUGAGAUUAUCCCUGUUGAACUUUCUUUAUACUGAUAGAGAGUCGAUUAGAAACCAGGACUCCUCUAUGUCCUCUCAUGAUCCUGCCGAUGUUUAUCCUUCACAGAUUACUGAAGGUUUGAUCUCUGUUAUUCGUAGAUAUUGUCAUUGGAAGUUUGAUUUCUCAAUUUUGAUCCCCAACGCAAAUCAAAGGAUCACUUCUUUUAAAGCUAGAUUUUCUUUUGUGUACACGUAUCCCUUUACAUUAGACUUUAGACCUCCUAUUAACCCAGUUGCUAUUGAGUUCUGCCGCUUCUUCAAUGUGUAUUUAGGACAAAUUGGCCCUAUUGUAUGGAGGGUUGUUGCAUGUUUAAGGUAUUUGGCUAAUGUGGCUACACUGUCUUUCACCUUUUAUCAUCUAAUCCAUCUCUACUCUCCUAAAUUAUUCCGUCAUGGGGUGUUUACUCUGGUGGCAAGGAGUAAGAGAGUUUUAGUUAGCCCUGAAGAUGAUAAAGAUCAUGGCUAGUACACCCGAUUUGUUGUUGCUCCUACGAAAGGGUUAGUAGGUGAAGAGAAUAUGUCCUUCCAUGAGAAGUGGAACUUUGCACGUUAGUUUUUUUUACAACUUUCUUUUUCUCUUUUUUUAGAGCUUGUACUUCCCGUGACUGUUUUACUUUUCUUUUUCAGCAACCAUGGGAUCUGUUGAGGAGAUUCCCGAUUUUCGUAGUUGGGUAGAAAAAUUGUUAACACUUGCUCCGAUGGAAGUAAGGUCUUGGAAGUACCUUUCAAAUAGGUUUGUCUGGAAGGUUAAGACCCACGGUAAUAAAAUUUAUUUUCUCCUUUCUUUUCUUCAUUCAUUCUCUCUUUAGAAUUUGUUAACCCUUCUUUUUAUCAGGGUGCCCUAGUAAAGGUUUGAGUGUUGAGUCAAUCGCAGCUUCUAGACUUUCUUUAGUAAGAGCUCAAGAGAUAAUCUUGAGUUCUUUAUUGAAAAGAAAAGCUGAUAGACCACAGGAUUUUGAAGAUAAAGAGGAGCGGGAUGGAAGCUCUUUAGUUCGUAAGCCGUGGGCUAGAAGACGUGCCAUUUCGAAUGACGAAGCUACUCGUCCUCGCCUUAUUUUUGUGAUCGAGCCCGCUGAAGCCACUUUAGUGAGUUCUGAUGAAGAGACGUCUGUGGCACCUCGUGACUCUGAUGAACUCCUCUUUUCACAUGGAUUUGAUAAUGAAAACUUUGACUUGAUUUCUGAGGAAGCACCUCUUGCCUCUUUUCCUGUGUGUUGUCCCAAUAGAAUCUCAUCUUCAUGUUUCUACCGUUGUUGUUGCUGCUUCGCCCGAAGCUAUUAUGACUUCUUCGACCGUUCCUGUUGCUAAUAUUUCUCGUACUAAAAUUGGUUCUUCAAGUGGAAGCAGGGCAAUGAGUCAAAUUACCAUUGAAGUUCCUACUGAUGGUAAUCUUUUGAAGAAGUCAGGCCAAGCUGACGUUUGGCUAAAACCCUUGAUAGGUCCGGUCUAAAAGUCAAAACUGGAAAGUCAUAGUUCUUUGACUUGGAUGAACGACAUUGUGCAAUCAUCAUUGAAGGUUUAAACUCCUCUUUUUAUCUUAUGUAAUUUUCCUUUUACUAGGAUCUAACCUUUUUCUCUUUAUGUAGAUCAAUCUCAUUAGUACGAAGAUGAUGAAAAGGGUUUCUCAUAUGGGGCAGUUGAUGGAUGACUACCAGAUUUAGGCUGAUAAUUGGAAAGAGCAGUAUAAAGUCUCCAGCUCGAGAUGGAAGUUUUAGAAGAGAACAAAUGUACCUUGGAGCAGCAUAUAAAAGUUAUGGUAAUAGAGCUAGCAGCUGAGAAAGUCUCUUCCAACCAGGCGGGCAAGGAUAAGCACAUUCUUGAGUCGUCUUUUGCUGAACAAAUGUCUAAGGCUACAGAAGAGAUCAGAGGUCUGAAGGCCAUGUUAGACGAGAAAGAAGGUUAUGCUGGUGAGCUUGUUCAAACACUCACCCAAGCUCAAGAAUAUCUCCGGGUAUCUUCUGAUAAGGUUAUGUUUUGGAGAGUUCGCUUGCCCCUUUACAAGCUUCUUAUGAUGCUACCUUAGCUGAGAAGGAAGAGCUUAAGAACGCAAUUAAUCAUUGGGAGAGAGAUUAUGAAGCUCUUGAAGACAAGGCUGCUAUUGAAGUAAGUUGGGCCGUUUUGAACACAUGCCACGAUACUCUUAUGGAGGUAAGCCAUGAAGGUUAUAACUUGGAUGCUGAGAUAACAAAGAUUAAGGAAACAAUUGAGAAAACUCAACAAAGCUAAAGUUUCUCUUCACCUGUGGCUGAUACUCCCGAAGGUGUUGAAGCUAAUCUUGGUGUAGUGGUUGUUCAAGCCCUUUCUGAUCAAGUUGAACCUUCUACUGCUAAUGACGCCAUCUUGAAUAUUGGUUCAGAACCUGCUCCAUAGUGAAAGUUUGAUUGUGAAGUUGACUAGUUUUUUUUUGUUUUGUUAGCGAAACACUUUGUGGUUUUACCCCUAGUCCCAUUUAGGGGUAAUGUUUUCGGAUAACAUCAUACCCGUAGUCAAUUUUGGGGGUUUUUUGUGAAGGAAAUUAAGUUGAAACUAUGUUUAGUUUCAACUAAUGUAUUAAGAUAUAAAGUUUUUGUUCAACUUUUAUAAUAUAUUUUAUUUCGAGUUUCUGUUUUAUUCUUUUAGUGGUUUGACCUUGCCUUUUUCUUUAUAAGUUUAAGACCUUGUUUUCCACUUCAAUUUUAAUGUGUGGGUUUUUAUUUUACCCUUUUGCAUUUAAAACUACUUUAUUAAUUUCAUGGCUUUUUGAAUCAAGCACGAAUUAUAAAAGAGGUCCCUUUUAUAUACGACACUUAAUGAAGAAGAUGUCUCAACUUCAUAAUGGAAUAAAUAUACGAAAGAAGAAAUAGGAACACACAUGUUUCUUGGAAUAACUUUGAGAAAAGUUUUAUUUCAUUCAAACUUGUCGAACUAAAUAAUACCUUACAUGUAUUUAAGUAUUAUAUAUAACUCUUCUGUAAGUGUUUUCUUUUACAACAGAUUUGUAAAAAAGGAAAUCCAAGGGUUUCUUUAUAACCCAUAACUAAAUACUGCCUUAUACCUAAACAUUCGUAAGACUUAAAGAUUUACAUCUACGAAUGUGUCUUUCAUAGGUUUUUCAAUCAGGCUUGUGUUUUUGGCUCGUGACUUUUCUCUGAACUUGAGAUUUGUUGAGUAGACUUUAGGCUUGACUUUAAUUGUUCCAGUCCUCUUUGCCUUCCCUAUACAUAUACCAUAUGUAUAUUAUAUAGUCUCCCAAGUGUUUCAGCUUUGAAGUAUGAAAUCUCCAGCACUUGAUUAUUCCUUUCAUGCGGUCCUUUUCCUAAAAGGAAAAACAUAUGGGACUCGGAGGUAUAAUUUAGAUGAAGAUUGCUAACCCAUUACAUUUCCAUCAGAAUAGUUGUACCCCUAGACCAGGAAUUAUGUUUAUUCCGCGUGUCUUUCAGGUCUAAUUUCAUCAUUUGGUGUGGGCUAGUUGUUUGCCUAUCAUUUAAAAUUGUUAGUAUAACUUUAGCAGUUCAAUAACAAAAAUCGUAAGUGAGGAUACCUGACCGUGGGUAUUUCCUUCCCUUAGAAAUAGUACUUCUUCAGAUGAACAGCAUUUCAACUCGAGGGUAGAAUCUUGCCAUCCAUGGUUUCAAGUUCAUAUGCACCUUUUCCUGUGAUACCACGAUUCUUGUAAGGUCCUUCCCAAUGUGGACUCAACUUCCCUGCAUUGGCUGCUCUUGUGGAUUGAAAAACUUUUUUGAGUAUGUAGUCCCCCAAUAUUGAAGUAUCUGAGACGAGAUUUCCGAUUGUAAUAUCACUCAAUGACUUGUUUUUGCGCAGCCAUCCUUAUUAAGGCAGUUUCUCUCCUUUUCUCAAGCAAAUCGAGAUUUACCCCCAUCUCCUUUUCAUUUGACUCUCCAGUAACUUGAAUAUAUCUCGUACUUGGCUCCCUUAUUUCAACUAGAAUUAAGGAUUCAGCACCGUACACAAGUGAGAAUGGUGUCUCUCCCGUACUUGUUUUUGUUGUUGUUCGGUAAGCCCAUAAGACUCUAGGUAGCACCUCUGACCACUUGCCUUUUGAUUCUUCUAGUCUUUUCUUCAAGUUGUUGAUAAUAACUUUAUUUGUUGAUUCAGCUUGUCCAUUGGCCACUGGAUGAUAAGGUGUCGAGGUGAUCCUUUUAAUUUGCUAACUUUGAAAGAAUUUUGUGAUUUGCGCACCUACGAACUGCGGGCCAUUAUCACACACGCUCUUUUGGAACUCCAAAUCGACAUAUGAUGUUUCGCCAGAUGAAGUCCCUCACCUUUUUUUCUCGUAUCUGUUUGAAGGCACCUGUUUCUACCCACUUAGUAAAAUAAUUAGUGAGUACUAUAGAAAUCGUACCUUGCCUUUGGCUUGUGAUAGUGGACCCAUUAUAUCAAUUCCUCACUUCAUAAAAGGCCAUGGUGCAACAACCUGAUGUAAUAAUUCAGUUUGUCGAUGCAUGUUGUUAUCAUACCUUUGGCACUUGUCACAUUUAGCCACAAAAUUUUCUGCUUCUUCUUCCAUUUUUUGCCAGUAAUACCAUGCUCUAAUUAAAGUGUUCACCAAGGAUAUUCCUCCGGCGUGAUUUCCAUAAUGUCCUCAUUAUAUAUUCUAUUUGACAAGGUCCGAGACAUCUUGCUAGAGGGCAGCCGAACAUUUUUCAAUAUAGAUUGCCUCGAUCUAAACAGUAACGAGCAGUCUUUUGACGAAGUUCCUGAGCCUUUUUCUUAUCUUCUGGUAAUAUUCUGUACUGCAAAAAACUGACAAUCUUGUUUCUCCAACCCCAAGUUAAAUUAUUGAAAUUUACCUUAUUUUUAUCUUGAUCAAGUACUGAAUGAAACAAAUGUAUUACUGGAGCAUUUUCUUUAUUUGUUACUUCUGCAGUGGAUGCAAGAUUAGCCAACGCGUCUGCCUUGGCAUUUUCUUCUCUUGGUAUCUGUGUAAUUUUCCAAGUUUGGAAUUGUCUAACUAAGUCCCGUACCUUUUCCAGAUAUUGCUGUAUUCUCGCCACUCUAGCUAUAUAAGUCCCCUGCAUUUAGUUUACUACGAGUUGCGAAUCGCUUUUGAUUAUGACCUGCUCUAUUCUGAGCUCUCGUGCCAAUUCUAGACCUACAAUCACAGCUUCAUAUUUUUCUUCGUUAUUAGUAAUAUGAUGGCAUUUUAUGGCUUGUCGUAUAGUUUCUCCCACAUGUGGGAUCAAGAUAAUGCAUAAACCUGCUCCCUUUACAUUUGAAGAUCUAUCGGUAAAUAAGAUUCAAGUACCUGGAUUAGAUACAUUAAAUACCUGCAGUUCUUUUUCUGCCUCUGCCUGCAUCCCUGGGCUAAAAUCCGCCACAAAAUCUGCUAGAACCUGUGACUUUAUUGCGGUUCUAGGUUUAUAUGUGAUGUCAUAUUCACUUAGCUCUAUAGACCAUUUGGCUAACCUACCUGAUAACUCUUGUUAUGCAAUAUAUUACGUAAGGGGUAGGCAGUUACUAUAGAGAUAGGAUGACACUGAAAAUAAGGCCUUAAUUUUCUUGAUGCCAUAAUUAAUGCUAGUGCAAGUUUUUCUAAAUGAGGAUAUCGAGUUUCAGUAUCUAAUAAAGACUUGCUAACAUAAUAAAUUGGAGAUUUUUUACCUUGGUCCUCGCAAACUAAUACGACACUUACCGCUACUUUCGAAUCAGCAAGGCAGAUGAGUAGUUUUUUCCCCAUCCUUCAGUUUGGCUAGCAAUGGUGGAUUUGACUAGUAUGCUUUUAAAUUAUUAAGUGAUUUUUGACAUUCUUCAGACCAUUCAAAUUGAUUUUGCUUUUUUAAGGCUGAGAAUAACUUAAAGCAUUUUUCUGAUGACUUGGAAAUAAAUCUCCCCAACGCUGCAAUUCUUCCUGUCAGCCUCUGUACUUCUUUUUUGUUCGUAAGUAUAUCCAGUAUUUCUUCAAUAGCCUUAAUCUGUGUGGGAUUUACUUCAAUGUCAUGGUUAGAAACACAGAAUCCCAAGAACUUACCUGACGAUAUGCCAAAUGCACAUUUCUCAGGAUUUAACUUCAUGUUAAAUUUUACGAAGAAUCUCAAAUGUAUCUGACAGGUGUUGAAUAUGAUCCCCUGCUUGUUGUGAUUUGACUAGCAUAUCAUCUAUAUAAACCUCCAUGAUUUUUCCUAGAUGUUGUUGAAACAUCUUGGUCACUAGCCUUUAGUACGUGGCCCCAGCAUUCUUUAGGCCAAAUGGCAUAACUUUAUAGCAGUAAGUCCCCCUGUCUGUAAUAAAGGAAGUUUUUUCCUCAUCUAGAGGAUCCAUUUUGAUAUGAUUAUAUCCUAAAUAGGCAUCUAAAAAACUUAAUAACUCAUGUCCUGCAGUAGCAUCAAUUAGUUGAUCUAUGUGCGGUAAUGGAAAAGAAUCUUUAGGGCAAGCUUUAUUUAGAUCAGUAUAGUCUACACAAACUCGCCACUUACCAUUCUUUUUAGGCACUACUAUAGUAUUAGCUAACCAAUCUGGAUACUUUACCUCGCAGAUAGACCCGAUCUUUCAAAGCUUUUGUACCUCAUCCUGAAUCACCUGAUUCUUGAAGGAACCUUGCUUCCUCUUCUUUUAUUUGACAGGUGGGUAUGUUAGAUCUUCAUUUAGUUUAUGAUUCAUUAUCUCCGGCAGUAUUCCUGUCAUAUCUGAAUGCAACCAAGCAAAAUAAUCUGCGUUAGCUUUUAAAAAUUCAAUUAACUUAUUUUUCAUCUCCGGGCUGAGGUUGGUUCCAAUGUAGACUUUUUUGUCCGGCCAAUGUACAAAUAACACCACAGCUUCUAAUUCCUCGAUUUUUGUUUUGAUGUUAUCAAUUUCUUCUGGUUUUUGAAUAGUAUCUAGCCUCGAGUCUAGAUCUGUUUGUCGUCUACAGUUGAGGCUUGUGUUGCUGCAUCCUCAACUGAAUUCUGUAAUUGCUAUUUUUUUAUGCUUUUCGUGCUUGAGUCUAUCAAUGAAUUAAUGCUUUGAGAAGCCUGUUGGUCUCCACGAAUUUGUCGUAUUCCCUAUUGUGAAGGAACAUUAAUAACUUGAUGUAGGGUAGACGGAACAACAUCUAUUUCAUGGAUCCAUGGUCUGCCGAGAAUCAUAUUGUAAGUCAUAUCCAUUUCUAUCACUUGAAAUUUGGUGUCUUUGACUACUCCUACUGCAAAUGUGGCGAGUAUAUCUCACCUUUUGUUACAAUGCUCGAAUUGUCAAAAUCAAACAAGGUUCGUGCCUUAGGUAUCAACUUAUCAUUGGCUUGCAUCUCGUUUAUCACUCUUAACAAAAUGAUAUUCACAGAACUACCUGGAUCAAUCAAUAUUCGUUUCACAUUAGUGUCAUGUACAAGUAAAGAUAUUACCAGUACAUCAUUGUGUGGGGUCAAUACGCCAUCUGCAUCUGCAUCAUCAAAUGUUAUACCGUCUUCUUCCAAAACUUGACGAACUCGUUUCUCGUGGGUGACUGUGAUUUUUGACACCUUCUUUGUUGUUGUGUAUGUUACGCCAUUGAUCUCUUCCCCUCCACUUAUGACAUUAACCUUUCUUUUUGGUGAUGGGGGUUUCGGCUAUUCUUGCCUAUUCUUCAUAUAUGCUUGUUUUCCCUUUUCAAUAAAUAAUUUUGUUAAGUACCGUUGCUUUAAUAGAUGUUCUACUUCACCUUGUAUUAAUCUGCAAUCCGCUGUUUUGUGACCAUGAUCAUUGUGAAAUUCGCACCAAAAAUCGGGAUUUCUCCUGUUUGGGUUUGGUCUCAUUUCUUUUAGCCACUGUACCUUAUCUCCCAUGCUUCUUAAAACAGCCACCAACUCGGAUGUGCUAACAUUAAAACUGUAGCCACCAAUUUUUUCUUUUGAGCCUCUAUCAUCGUCUCGCACAUCUCACAUGUUUCGCUCCUUUUCGAACCUUGACGAUGAACCUAAUUCUCUUUCCCUUGACCUAGGAUCAUACCUUGGGUUUUCCUGUUUUGAACGUGAAUCCCUUUCUGCUGGCCCCAUAUAAGGUUCGUACCUAUUUUUACCGGACCUUUUUUAAGUUUCAGCCCAUCUUGAACUUACUCUUUCAUAUUUCGAGACUGAAUGAUAGUAUCUUCUUCUAUCCGCAGAUUUGUGAUGUAUCUAUUGUAAACAUCAUUCCAAGUUGUUGCAAGAAAUUCUCGUAAACUUUCUUUCAGUCUCCUUGUGCCUUUCGAGCUUUUUUUAUUCAGAUUACUAGCGAAAGCCAUAGCCGCCCAGUUAUCAAGUACACGUGGCAACAUCAUCCUUUCAUGUUGAAACCUAUCUACGAAUUCCUUGAGCAGCUCGGUAUCUCCUUGUCUUAUUUUUAAAAUGUCCUCCAUUCUUUUUUCAACUUUUUGAGCUCCCGAGUGUGCUUUUAUAAAUGAAUCUGCAAGCUCAGCAAAAGAAUCAAUAGAAUUUUCAGGUAAAAGAGAAUACCAAGUUAGUGCUCCCUUCGUGCGUGUUUCUCCACACCUUUUGACCAACACUGAUUCAAUUGUUUGCUUGGUCAAGUCAUUGCCCUUUACACCAGUUGUAAAUGCAGUUACGUGAUCCCGUGGAUCAGUUGUUCCAUCAUACUUCAGGAUAUCGGGCAUCUUGAAUUUCAUUGGAAUUGGUAAAGGAGCGGCACUUGGCUUCCAAGGUUAUUGAGAGUACUUUUUCAUAUCUAUCCCUUUGAUUAUAGGUGGUACUCCAGGUAUCUGCUCUAUGCGAUUUCUUUGCUCCUUGAGUUGUUUCUGCAAAGUUAGUAUUAAACUUUGUAAAUUAGAAUUAACUGGGUUACCUGACCCUCCAUCACGAGAUUCGCUGGGAGUUCCUCCACUGCCUGAGUUAACGAGUCCCGAGCGAGGAUUUUCUAUGGUUGUAGUGUUGUUUGGAGGUGGAGUUGGUGGUACAGCCGGCAACCUACUGAGAAAAGCUUGAAGGGCGUUUCUCAUUUAUAUUUGAUUCAGAUCCGUCAAGAGUCCUUUCUCGAGAUUGUCGAGGAGAGUUUUGUUGUGAGGGGGUGGAGUUCCAUCAACUUGUUGUUUCAACUGAUGUUGCUAAUUUUCUUGGUGAUGUAGAUUUUGUUGCCUAUUGUCAUUGGCAUUCGACAUGAUUGUUUUGACAGAAGAACUGAUUUAGAAGAUAAAAGAUUAUCAGAUUCCUGGUAAUGGAACCAAUUUGCUUAACCAGAAAAUAGGAAUUUCGGUCAAAGUUUGUUUUUAGAAGAACUCGGGUUACUGAUAAGCAAAUAAAGAAAUAAUUGUGUAACGAGAAAGGAAAUAUUAGACUGAAAAGAAGCCGAGUAAACAAUGUAAAGCAAUGUAAAUAAGAAUAUUCCAAUAAUAAUCAGUGUGUCCAUACAAAUGUUAUUUCUCUCCCUUUUAUAGUUAUUUCUAAGUGCAACGUUUCUUCUCUCUCGUAAUAGAGUCAUUAUAAGCAUUUAAUCACAUUAAUAAAAUAUUAUAAUUGGCAAUCAUAACUGUUUUAUGAAGAUUUUAUAACGUUUUCUCACAUUUAUGCUCAUUAAUUGAAGGUCUAACGAAUCUGUACUUUUUGCUGUCUUGGUUUAUUCUACCGGUAUCUCUUCAAAUUAUCAAGAGAUUCGAGUAACCGUUCCUUCUUAUCCUCUAGACACUUCGCUCGUACCUAUUAAGAAUCACGUCUUUUUAAGUACUCUUUGCCAGCUGCUACUCUUAUAAUAAUCCAUGUGUCUUGACAUGUCAGCACAUAAUUAAUUCCAAGUGUAAUAUUAAUUUUUCUCAAUACAAUAGAGAUUUCAGCUGUGUUUAGGACCAUUUUUAAACUCGUUCUGGAGUAUUUUGGGGUGACAUUUAGCUGUUUGAGUAACUGUCUUUCAGUUGGUGUUAAUGGGUUGAUUAGCAGCUUUUUUCAGCUACCUUUUCUGAAUAUUUCAUGGCAGUUUCAUGGUGGCAUUAAUGGAUGUUUAGGUGGAUUAAAGGUGAGCUUGGUGGAGAGUAAGAAGCGACUUUUAUGGCGAAAAUGCGAGCUAUGAAUGGCAACGAAAAAAUAAUGCUCUUUUUUAUUUUUUAUUCCAAAUUUUGUCUCCCCCUUAGGUGUUAUAUGAGUAAGGUAUAUAUUGAGAAUUGGUGGGCAAGAAAUCUGUGAGUGUGUAUGUGUAGGUAAUUUUUGAGUGAGAGCAUGUGAGUUUGUUUUAAAAAGGAAUCUUUGCCAAAUGGCAUUUUUUAAUUGGUUCUUUCUUCUUUGUUGAUUAUCUUUUCAAUAAAAAUAAAGUAUUACUCCUACUUGAUAAAUAUAGAAAGAUAAAGAUGCUAACUACUCAAAAUUCAUUUAUUAAAAUCAUUAACUUAAGAAUAGAGUAGACUCUUAAAUAUAUUUUUUGGAACUUUUCUUUCUUUUGAAAAUGGGAACACAAAUUAAAAUGAAAAAUUACAGCUAUUUUUGUUGUUUUCAAUUUAUCUAGUAAGGUAUAUUAAAAGGAAAAAUAAGAUCUAAAAUAUCAAUUAAACCUAAAAGCUAUUUGAAUGCUAAAGGUGGUGAAAAACUCAUGUAUGGUGAAAAUUAGAUGCUCACAGCAUGCUCCUCUUUGUUUGGAAACAUGAAGAGCUUUUAAGCAAAGAAAAGAUGAGCUAUAUGACUGAUUUUUGACCAUACCAUUAUUCAAAAGGGAAGAAAUAAGAGAAAGAAGAAAGAGUGCAACCGAGUCCUGAUUUUGGACAACCUACAUAUCCCGGGUUAUAAGGAAUCAGGUCAUGUGUAGUUCAAGGAGAAUGAUGGAAUGAUGAGUUGGAGAGUCGAGCGAGGUUCCAUCGAGGCUCCGUUCCGCGGUCUUAUUUAUUACAUCAGAAUAAAAAGGAAAUUACAUUAAAGGAUAAAAAAAAUACAAGAUCCUAUCUAUAAGUCUUCUGAAACUUGAUCUUGAAUCUUGACUGGUUCUUCAUGCAGACUCUAAUCUGAACCUGGAUGCUUGCUAGCUGCAGGUGCUAGUUCAUUUUUCUACGGCUUCUUCUGAUCAAAAUAGGGAAUGCAAUGCUCAUGACUUCUGUCGUGUCAUGAGCAGUCCAAAUCUUUUCAUCUACUUCUGCAUUUUGAAUUCACUUCUUUUUUUUUUCUUUUCUUUAUUUUAGAUUGAGACUUCUUAUUUUGGUCAUCUUGAAUCCUGUGCCUCGAGGCAAAAUCUACUUAGAGACCAAAAUAAACGAAUAAACGAGAUUUUUCUUCCCAGUUGUCACUAGGAAAAAUUCAUAAGUUAUUGUAACAAAAUUUUAAAAUGCUUUUCCUUUCUUUCUUUUUUUUUAUUUUUUUAUUUUAAAAAACAGUAAAGUGUCGGGAAUGGUGUACCCUAAAAAGACCAUGAUUUUUUUUUAUAUGGUAUUUUCUUAUUGUUAAAUGAUGCCUCAAUUAAAAAUGUGUGUACCUUAUGUUGGGAAAAAUGCUGUCGGGGAACAGUAUACCUUAUAUUGGAAAAGAUAUCAGGAAGUGGUGUACCCUGAACGUAAGAUCAAAUCAACUAGGGAAUGGUGUACAGUAUGUUGGAGAACACAAGUAGGGAGUGGUGUACCCUAUACCGGUGAAGAGAUUAGGGAAUGGUGUACCCUAUGUUGGUAAGGAGACUAGGGAGUGGUGUACCCUAUGUCUAAAAUAUCAUCAACCAGGGAGUGGUGUACCUUAUGUUAGAAAACGCAGCUAGGGAUUGGUGUACCCCAUACUAGUAAUGAAACUAGGGAUAGGUGUACCCUAUGUCUAGGAAUCAUCAACUAGGGAUUGGUGUACCCUAAGUUGGAAAAUGCAGCUAGGGAAUGGUGUGCUCUAUGCUAACAUGCGGUUGAGUUUUUUUUUAAAAUUAUCCUAGUAGAAAAUUUAUCAUACUGGUUUUUCUUAUCUUAGGAAAAAAAUUUAUUAGACUAAAACGUCUAUCCUAGGAGAAAGUUUAUCAGACUAGGGAUUCUUAUCUUAGGAGAAAGAUUCAUCAGACUAAAAUGUAUAUCUUAGGAGAAAAUUCAUCAGACUAGGGAUUCUUAUCUUAGGAGAAAGAUUCAUCAGACUAAGACUUUUAUCCUAGGAGAAAAUUCAUCAGACUAAGUUAUUUUAUCUUAGAAGAAAGAUUCAUCAGACUAAAUUUUCUUAUCUUAGGAGAAAAUUCACCUGACUAAAACUUUUAUCCUAGACGAAAUAUUCAUCAGACUAGGGUUUUUCAUCUUAGGAGAAAGUUUCUGUUACAUCUCGCGUUUUCGUACGUUAAAAUAUCAUCUUCAGUUAAUCGAUGUAGACUCGGGGAUGAGAUUAUCUUGAGGUUAUACACAUUUAUGCUAUUUAUAACAAGCGGUAAGUAAGUAUCGUGAAGGAUACAGGGUAAACGAAUCAAAGAAAAUGAGUCUCGUUGAAGGUUGUCGAUUUGGGAUAAAAUGCGAUCCGAGCUAUAAUACCCGAUAUUUAUGGACUAGUGCCAUACAAGGUACUACAUGACCAUAAUAAUAAGGUGUAUAAGGUAUGUUAAAAGUGAGUAGUAUUUUAAGUAAGUGGAGAUAAUUCUUAAUUAUAUGGGUAAUUGGUUAAUUAUUGGGCAAUAGGACAUUACCUAGUUAAUUAAUGAGUUGUGGGUGAUUAAUUAAAGAAUGUGGUUAGAGAUAAAACAUCCCCAUAUGGAAGCAAACUAAUCCAAGAAUUGUGACUAAUAAGUCACUAUGUUAUGUGGCAUGUUUAAGAAUGUGAGUCAUUUCCAUUUUAAUAAAGGAAAGACACAUAUAAUGUGUCAUAUCCAUUCUUAAGAAACAUAAUUCACAAAUCCAUUCUUAUAUGCAUUCAAACCUAAAUAUUUGUAUGUUACAAACAUAAGUCACAAACGUAAGUCACAUAAGCAAGAUAAGACUUCAACAAUUCAAAGCAACGUGAGAUCAUGCAAUUAUAAAGGAGUACGGUGCAAUCUUUAUCAAGAAUAUUAUAUAAAUUUUUCCUACUCCGGUCUUGCCGUCACGUGUUUUGUCGCGAUUGUCGUGUGUUAGAGGGAUUGUCCGGAGAAUAGGCUUAGGUAUGUUAAGGUUAUCCCUUCUUUCUUCGCAUGAUUUAUACGACACAAACGAGACGAGAAAUGCAUAACUUCCAUAAAUGACUCCAUUCGUAGAAAUGUUAGAUAUGUGUAGAUUCUUGUUUUCCCAUAAGUCUUAUUAUUCUAUCGUCUGUUCAUGGGUCUCAGAAAAUAUGUAAGUUGAUAAAGUCUAUUUCAUGGUAUUAAUUAGAGGCAUAAUGGUCUUAUGACACUCCGGAAGAUUUUAUUGACGUACUUCUCAUGCAUUGCAUUUAUUUACAUUGACCCAUGACCAGAUAGCAUUAUAUAUGCGUAUAUAUAUGCAUUGCAUUUAUAUNNNNNNNNNNNNNNNNNNNNNNNNNNNNNNNNNNNNNNNNNNNNNNNNNNNNNNNNNNNNNNNNNNNNNNNNNNNNNNNNNNNNNNNNNNNNNNNNNNNNNNNNNNNNNNNNNNNNNNNNNNNNNNNNNNNNNNNNNNNNNNNNNNNNNNNNNNNNNNNNNNNNNNNNNNNNNNNNNNNNNNNNNNNNNNNNNNNNNNNNNNNNNNNNNNNNNNNNNNNNNNNNNNNNNNNNNNNNNNNNNNNNNNNNNNNNNNNNNNNNNNNNNNNNNNNNNNNNNNNNNNNNNNNNNNNNNNNNNNNNNNNNNNNNNNNNNNNNNNNNNNNNNNNNNNNNNNNNNNNNNNNNNNNNNNNNNNNNNNNNNNNNNNNNNNNNNNNNNNNNNNNNNNNNNNNNNNNNNNNNNNNNNNNNNNNNNNNNNNNNNNNNNNNNNNNNNNNNNNNNNNNNNNNNNNNNNNNNNNNNNNNNNNNNNNNNNNNNNNNNNNNNNNNNNNNNNNNNNNNNNNNNNNNNNNNNNNNNNNNNNNNNNNNNNNNNNNNNNNNNNNNNNNNNNNNNNNNNNNNNNNNNNNNNNNNNNNNNNNNNNNNNNNNNNNNNNNNNNNNNNNNNNNNNNNNNNNCUUAUUAAUCGCUUUUAAUUAUUUUAGGAAGAUUCAACGUUAUUUAAAACAUGCCUUGAACCACGCCACAUGAAAUGCACCCGCGGUCCACGACAUAUUUUACUUAACGUUGUUGAAAUUGGGUCACAUGAAAUGCACACCCGAAUUUAAUAAAUAAAGAAAAUCAAUUUAAAUAGCGCGCCUAAAGCAACUAGUGCAUUUGAAUUAUUUUCCUACUUUGAGAUUAUUGUGAAACCAAGAGUUUGUGGAAAUUAUUGUUCGGAGAGAUGUGCACUUAUUAUUAAGCUAACAGGCCAAGAUAUGAAGGUGAUUGACAUUAUCCAAUACAAAAGAGAUGAACCAACUUGUGCUUAUUUUGUUUAAGGAAUUGGGUCAGGCAUGAUUCUAUUGGGCCAAAUUUCUUUAACUUCUCGUUUAAAAUUAUUUCCUGCAGGCCCCAUUACUAAACUAACUUAGGCCCAACAUCACUUGCUAUUCUUAAAUCCUAAGAAUUCAAUUCUAAUGAUGCCCACUACAGAAUAUCAAAGAGCUACUCUAAUGAGUAAACUUAUUGCAACAUGAUUUCAACCAAACAAUAUUCAAACAAUGAUCAAAAGGGCAAUUCUCAUCAAAUAAAACUUCUUCAAAGAAAAGAGAAAGAUUUAGAUUUUUACGACAAAGCACCAAUUUGUUAACAUGUUAACAAAAUAAGGAACAUCCAAAACUAUAUUUAACAUCAUCUCAUGAAAAAUAACACGAAUUCACUUGAGCAAAGCACAAAAUAAGAUCCAAAUGUUAGGAUUAGAAAAUGAACCUUUACAUUGGCCGAUCCAAAGUUUAAACUUUUGUGACACAAUAAUCUAGCCGAGGACAAGGACUACGACUGCAACCAAUGACGACGACAUCAAACGAAGCUAACGAACACAUUAAACCCAAAAGGAAACACGAACAAUCGAGCUAGCGAAGAACAGAGAAAUGGAUUGUAUCCGUUUGUGGUUCAGGUUGUCGCUAUUUUUGGUUGAUUCUCGUGGCUGAUUUCAGAGGUGUUUUGGAGUCAUUU
RNAcentral lists this long non-coding RNA (42941 nucleotides) under Nicotiana tabacum (common tobacco). RNAcentral's name for it is "long non-coding RNA (NTAB_LNC007958)". Lineage: Eukaryota; Viridiplantae; Streptophyta; Magnoliopsida; Solanales; Solanaceae. The record is from RNAcentral.